This 374-nucleotide ribosomal RNA is filed under the name uncultured bacterium. RNAcentral's name for it is "bacterial SSU rRNA". It matches the Rfam family "Bacterial small subunit ribosomal RNA", at positions 28 to 402 of the family's 1533-position model. The record is from RNAcentral.
GACGAACGCUGGCGGCGUGCUUAACACAUGCAAGUCGAGCGGUAAGGCCCUUUCGGGGGUACACGAGCGGCGAACGGGUGAGUAACACGUGGGUGACCUGCCCUUAGCUCUGGGAUAAGCCUGGGAAACUGGGUCUAAUACCGGAUAUGACUCCAUGACGCAUGUUGUGGGGUGGAAAGCCUUGUGCGGCUAGGGAUGGGCCCGCGGCCUAUCAGCUUGUUGGUGGGGUGAUGGCCUACCAAGGCGACGACGGGUAGCCGGCCUGAGAGGGCGACCGGCCACACUGGGACUGAGACACGGCCCAGACUCCUACGGGAGGCAGCAGUGGGGGAAUCUUGCGCAAUGGGCGAAAGCCUGACGCAGCGACGCCGCGU